AUUGAACGCUGGCGGCAUGCUUUACACAUGCAAGUCGAACGGUAACAGGUCUUCGGAUGCUGACGAGUGGCGAACGGGUGAGUAAUGCAUCGGAACGUGCCCAGUCGUGGGGGAUAACGCAGCGAAAGCUGUGCUAAUACCGCAUACGAUCUAUGGAUGAAAGCGGGGGACUCGCAAGAGCCUCGCGCGAUUGGAGCGGCCGAUAUCAGAUUAGGUAGUUGGUGGGGUAAAGGGCUCACCAAGCCAACGAUCUGUAGCUGGUCUGAGAGGACGACCAGCCACACUGGAACUGAGACACGGUCCAGACUCCUACGGGAGGCAGCAGUGGGGAAUUUUGGGACAAUGGACGCAAGUCUGAUCCAGCCAUUCCGCGUGCAGGAUGAAGGCCCUCGGGUUGUAAACUGCUUUUGUACGGAACGAAAGGUUCCCAUUAAUACUGGGAGCUCAUGACGGUACCGUAAGAAUAAGC
This 469-nucleotide ribosomal RNA is filed under the name uncultured bacterium. Its description in RNAcentral is "bacterial SSU rRNA". It matches the Rfam family "Bacterial small subunit ribosomal RNA", at positions 30 to 491 of the family's 1533-position model. The record is from RNAcentral.